Molecule: ribosomal RNA, 482 nt
Filed under: uncultured bacterium
Lineage: Bacteria
Description: partial 16S ribosomal RNA
Rfam family: Bacterial small subunit ribosomal RNA
Source: RNAcentral
GACGAACGCUGGCGGCGCGCCUAACACAUGCAAGUCGAACGAGAGAGAGGGAGCUUGCUUCCUCGAUCGAGUGGCGAACGGGUGAGUAACGCGUGAGGAACCUGCCUCAAAGAGGGGGACAACAGUUGGAAACGACUGCUAAUACCGCAUAAGCCCACGGCUCGGCAUCGAGCAGAGGGAAAAGGAGCAAUCCGCUUUGAGAUGGCCUCGCGUCCGAUUAGCUAGUUGGUGAGGUAAUGGCCCACCAAGGCGACGAUCGGUAGCCGGACUGAGAGGUUGAGCGGCAACAUUGGGACUGAGACACGGCCCAGACUCCUACGGGAGGCAGCAGUGGGGAAUAUUGCACAAUGGGGGAAACCCUGAUGCAGCGACGCCGCGUGGAGGAAGAAGGUCUUCGGAUUGCAAACUCCUGUUGUUGAGGAAGAUAAUGACGGUACUCAACAAGGAAGUGACGGCUAACUACGUGCCAGCAGCCGCCGUAA